UUCAUGGAGAGUUUGAUCCUGGCUCAGGACGAACGCUGGCGGCGUGCCUAAUACAUGCAAGUCGAGCGGACCGACGGGAGCUUGCUCYCUUAGGUCAGCGGCGGACGGGUGAGUAACACGUGGGUAACCUGCCUGUAAGACUGGGAUAACUCCGGGAAACCGGGGCUAAUACCGGAUGCUURAUUGAACCGCAUGGUUCAAUUAUAAAAGGUGGCUUCGGCUACCACUUACAGAUGGACCCGCGGCGCAUUAGCUAGUUGGUGAGGUAACGGCUCACCAAGGCAACGAUGCGUAGCCGACCUGAGAGGGUGAUCGGCCACACUGGGACUGAGACACGGCCCAGACUCCUACGGGAGGCAGCAGUAGGGAAUCUUCCGCAAUGGACGAAAGUCUGACGGAGCAACGCCGCGUGAGUGAUGAAGGUUUUCGGAUC
RNAcentral lists this ribosomal RNA (433 nucleotides) under Bacillus paralicheniformis. Its description in RNAcentral is "bacterial SSU rRNA". It matches the Rfam family "Bacterial small subunit ribosomal RNA", at positions 1 to 424 of the family's 1533-position model. The record is from RNAcentral. Lineage: Bacteria; Bacillati; Bacillota; Bacilli; Caryophanales; Bacillaceae.